This 227-nucleotide unclassified non-coding RNA is filed under the name uncultured fungus. Its description in RNAcentral is "sequence contains ITS1, 5.8S rRNA gene". The stretch from base 179 to 227 matches the Rfam family "5.8S ribosomal RNA", at positions 1 to 49 of the family's 154-position model. Lineage: Eukaryota; Fungi. The record is from RNAcentral.
UUUCCGUAGGUGAACCUGCGGAAGGAUCAUUAUUGAAUUGUUAGGAUGCUCUCUUUAGAGGUCCGACCCUUUCAUUUCUCACACUGUGCAUUACACUACUUUUUACACCUACACUAUUAUACUCGUAAAGUCUAUAAGGAUGUAUUAAAAGUCUCUUAGUUGAGCAUUUAAAUAGUAAAACUUUCAGCAACGGAUCUCUUGGCUCUCGCAUCGAUGAAGAACGCAGC